Molecule: ribosomal RNA, 377 nt
Filed under: Ribes humile
Lineage: Eukaryota; Viridiplantae; Streptophyta; Magnoliopsida; Saxifragales; Grossulariaceae
Source: RNAcentral
UCCAACCCUAUUUUYCGAUGCUAGUGAGCGUUUUCGAUGGAUACGACUACAAUAUCUGGAUUUGUUCCCAUUAGAGAUCAGACAAACGUAAUUCGAACGUUUAUACACGGAAAUCGAGGAUUUUUAGUUGUUUCGGUACCAAUUUUUACCCACCUGCGCAUUAAUAAUCCAUUUUUGUGUCAAUUUUGAGGUUAAUUUUUAAAAUUGUCGUCCAUUCCCUAUGAAAUCAUUUAUUUAGUUACAAAAAGUGUUUGAAAAAAGGUUCUCCCCCUUUUUUUUUUUUUUUUUUUAAUACCUAAUAGUUUCUGUAUUAUUUAUUAUUGGAUGAGUUGAUAAUGCUUUCUCAAAAUGAGUUAUAUGCAAAUAGUGUGCGAAUG